AUUGAACGCUGGCGGCAUGCUUUACACAUGCAAGUCGAACGGUAACAGGCCUUCGGGUGCUGACGAGUGGCGAACGGGUGAGUAAUGCAUCGGAACGUGCCCAGAGGCGGGGGAUAACGCAGCGAAAGCUGUGCUAAUACCGCAUGUGAUCUGAGGAUGAAAGCGGGGGACCAGGCAGCAAUGUUUGGCCUCGCGCCUUUGGAGCGGCCGAUGUCAGAGUAGGUAGUUGGUGGGGUAAAGGCCUACCAAGCCGACGAUCUGUAGCUGGUCUGAGAGGACGACCAGCCACACUGGGACUGAGACACGGCCCAGACUCCUACGGGAGGCAGCAGUGGGGAAUUUUGGACAAUGGGCGCAAGCCUGAUCCAGCAAUGCCGCGUGCGGGAAGAAGGCCUUCGGGUUGUAAACCGCUUUUGUACGGAACGAAAAGGCUCUGGCUAAUACCUGGGGCUGAUGACGGUACCGUAAGAAUAAGCACCGGCUAACUACGUG
Molecule: ribosomal RNA, 492 nt
Filed under: uncultured bacterium
Lineage: Bacteria
Description: partial 16S ribosomal RNA
Rfam family: Bacterial small subunit ribosomal RNA
Source: RNAcentral